Molecule: ribosomal RNA, 2001 nt
Filed under: Crepidula atrasolea
Lineage: Eukaryota; Metazoa; Mollusca; Gastropoda; Littorinimorpha; Calyptraeidae
Description: bacterial LSU rRNA
Rfam family: Bacterial large subunit ribosomal RNA
Source: RNAcentral
AAUAAGGGCGUAUGGGGGAUGCCUUGGCUCUCAGAGAUGACGAAGGACGUGAUAAGCUGCGAAAAGCUACGGGGAGGUGCAAAUAACCUUUGAUCCGUAGAUGUCCGAAUGGGGCAACCUGGCUGGUUGAAGACCAGUCGUGCGCAAGCACAGCAACCCGGAGAACUGAAACAUCUAAGUACCCGGAGGAAGAGAAAACAAUAGUGAUUCCGCAAGUAGUGGCGAGCGAACGCGGAUUAGCCCAAACCUCAUGGCAAUAGUUAUGGGGGGUUGUAGGACUGAUAAAUUAAUUAUCUGCGAAGUGGAAGUUGUUUGGAAAACAACACCGUAGAGGGUGAAAGUCCCGUACACGCAGUUCGAUAAUUAGAGUCAGUAUCCUGAGUAGGGCGGGGCCAGUGGAACCCUGUCUGAAUCUGCCGGUACCAUCCGGUAAGGCUAAAUACUCCUGAGAGACCGAUAGUGAACCAGUACUGUGAAGGAAAGGUGAAAAGAACCCCAAGCAGGGGAGUGAAAAGAACCUGAAACCAUACGCCUACAAGCGGUCGAAGCCCUUCGGGGUGACGGCGUGCCUUUUGCAUAAUGAGCCUACGAGUUACUCUUCCCUAGCAAGUUUAAGGACUUCAGGUCCGUUAAGCGAAGCGAAAGCGAGUCUGAAUAGGGCGUCAAGCUAGUGGAGGUAGACGCGAAACCUGGUGAUCUACCCAUGGGCAGGUUGAAGUUCCGAUAGUCUCGGAAUGGAGGACCGAACCGGUACAUGUUGAAAAAUGUUCGGAUGACCUGUGGGUAGGGGUGAAAGGCUAAUCAAACCAGGAGAUAGCUCGUACUCCCCGAAAUGCAUUUAGGUGCAGCGUGUUAUCAGUUUCAUAGAGGUAGAGCUACUGAUUGGAUGCGGGGGCUUCACCGCCUACCAAUUCCCGACAAACUCCGAAUGCUAUGAAACGUUGUAACGCAGUGAGGGCAUGGGUGCUAAGGUCCAUGUCCGAGAGGGAAAGAACCCGGACCACCGGCUAAGGUCCCCAAAUAUAUGCUAAGUUGACAAAACGCGGUGGGACUGCACCGACAGCCAGGAUGUUGGCUUGGAAGCAGCCAUUCAUUUAAAGAGUGCGUAACAGCUCACUGGUCGAGCGGUCCCGCAUGGAUAAUGAUCGGGCAUAAGCAUAUUACCGAAGCCGUGGCCCGCGUACAUGAGUACGCGGGGGUAGGGGAGCAUUGUAACGGCGCCGAAGGGGGACCUGCGAGGGCCCCUGGAGCUUUUACAAACGAAAAUGUAGGCAUAAGUAACGAUAAGCGGUGCGAGAAACACCGCCGCCGAAAGACCAAGGUUUCCCCGGCCAUGCUAAUCAGCCGGGGGUCAGUCGGGACCUAACGCGUACCCGAAAGGGGAAGUGGAUGGACAAGCGGUCAACAUUCCGCUACCCGCACGGUGCCAAAAGCGACGGAGGCGAGGAGUCGGUGCGUGCAGACGGAAUUGCACGUUGAAGGGAACGGCAACGUCCCGAUAGUACGCCAAGGCCACGGCCGAGGCGAUAAUCCGGCAUAUCGACUUCCAAGAAAAGCGAACCGUGCGGCCCGUACCGUAAACCGACACAGGUGGUCGGGAUGAGAAUUCCAAGGCGCUCGAGAGAUUCAUGGUCAAGGAACUAGGCAAAAUGGACCCGUAACUUCGGGAGAAGGGUCGCCCCCCUCCGGGGGGGCCGCAGUGAAGAGGUCCAGGCGACUGUUUAUCAAAAACACAGGGCUCUGCAAAAUCGAGAGAUGACGUAUAGGGCCUGACACCUGCCCGGUGCCGGAAGGUUAAGGGGAGAUGUGAAUCCUUCGGGAGGAAGCAUUGAACUGAAGCCCCGGUAAACGGCGGCCGUAACAAUAACGGUCCUAAGGUAGCGAAAUUCCUUGUCGGGUAAGUUCCGACCUGCACGAAUGGUGUAACGAUCUGGGCACUGUCUCAGCCGUGAGCUCGGUGAAAUUGAAGUAUCGGUGAAGAUGCCGAUUACCCGCAACGGG